This 439-nucleotide ribosomal RNA is filed under the name uncultured bacterium. RNAcentral's name for it is "bacterial SSU rRNA". It matches the Rfam family "Bacterial small subunit ribosomal RNA", at positions 355 to 814 of the family's 1533-position model. The record is from RNAcentral.
UGGGGAAUCUUGGACAAUGGGCGCAAGCCUGAUCCAGCCAUGCCGCGUGAGUGAAGAAGGCCUUCGGGUUGUAAAGCUCUUUUACCAGGGACGAUAAUGACGGUACCUGGAGAAUAAGCCCCGGCAAACUUCGUGCCAGCAGCCGCGGUAAUACGAAGGGGGCUAGCGUUGUUCGGAAUUACUGGGCGUAAAGCGCACGUAGGCGGAUUGUUAAGUCAGAGGUGAAAUCCCGGAGCUCAACUUCGGAACUGCCUUUGAUACUGGCAAUCUAGAGUCCGGAAGAGGUUAGUGGAAUUCCCAGUGUAGAGGUGAAAUUCGUAGAUAUUGGGAAGAACACCAGUGGCGAAGGCGGCUAACUGGUCCGGUACUGACGCUGAGGUGCGAAAGCGUGGGGAGCAAACAGGAUUAGAUACCCCAGUAGUCCCUGAGCGGGCUGGCA